AUUUGUGCACAAUUUAAUUGCUUCAUUAAAUAAAUAAAAUUAUAAUUACUGUUAAGUCCCCCUUCGACGUUAUUUUAAAAUAACAUGUUCGAUAGUAAUUAAAAUUGUAACUCGCCAUUACCAAAAAAUUGUCUGCACCUUGAUCUGUCUUUUUAAUAAGGAAUUAUGUUGGUAAAACUUCUAGUGUUACCUGACGACGACGGCAUACAAGAAUUUUCCUUGGUUAGUUUACCUUGGUGGUUAUCAUUUAUAAGGUAAGUUCCCCUAAAUUAAAAUUACCGCCAUGUUGUUUAAGUUUUAACUCUUAUAGUUGUAGUACUCUGCAAAAUAAAAAUGGGCAUUUGUAUAAAGGGGUAUCUAAUCCCUGUUUAUCACUAAUGUUUGGAAAGAAAAUCACACAGAUAGAGCUACGAAUUGACAUAUUUCACCACUCAUGUAAUAGUACUGGUGUGUUAUUUUGCCAUUUACGUCCCGUUCCCAAAGUAUGACCGC
RNAcentral lists this ribosomal RNA (492 nucleotides) under Sphaerospira blomfieldi. RNAcentral's name for it is "partial 12S ribosomal RNA". Lineage: Eukaryota; Metazoa; Mollusca; Gastropoda; Stylommatophora; Camaenidae. The record is from RNAcentral.